This 433-nucleotide ribosomal RNA is filed under the name uncultured bacterium. RNAcentral describes it as "partial 16S ribosomal RNA". It matches the Rfam family "Bacterial small subunit ribosomal RNA", at positions 29 to 507 of the family's 1533-position model. The record is from RNAcentral.
AACGAACGCUGGCGGCAUGCCUAACACAUGCAAGUCGAACGAGACCUUCGGGUCUAGUGGCGCACGGGUGCGUAACGCGUGGGAACCUGCCCUUAGGUUCGGAAUAACUCCCCGAAAGGGGUGCUAAUACCGGAUAAUGUCUUCGGACCAAAGAUUUAUCGCCUUUGGAUGGGCCCGCGUUGGAUUAGCUAGUUGGUAGGGUAAAAGCCUACCAAGGCGACGAUCCAUAGCUGGUCUGAGAGGAUGAGCAGCCACACUGGGACUGAGACACGGCCCAGACUCGUGCGGGAGGGAGCAGUGGGGAAUAAAGGAGGAUGGGCGAAGGGCUGAACCACCCAUGCGGGGUGAGUGAUGAAGGCCGUAGGGUAAAAAAGCUCUUGUACCCGCGAUGAGAAUGACGGGACCGGGAGAAUAAGAAAGGGCUAACUGCGUG